RNAcentral lists this ribosomal RNA (253 nucleotides) under uncultured bacterium. RNAcentral describes it as "partial 16S ribosomal RNA". It matches the Rfam family "Bacterial small subunit ribosomal RNA", at positions 524 to 776 of the family's 1533-position model. The record is from RNAcentral.
GACGUGGGGGGCGAGCGUUGUCCGGAAUUACUGGGCGUCAAGCGCGCGUAGGCGGGCUGGCAGGCGGCGUGUGGAAGGCGGGGGCUCAACCCCCGAUGGGCGCGCCGAACCGCUGGUCUUGGGACGGCGAGGGGCAGGUGGAAUGGUCGGAGGAGCGGUGAAAUGCGUAGAGAUCGGGAGGAACACCAGUGGCGAAGGCGGCCUUCUGGACCAAUACUGACGCUCAUGCACGAAAGCGUGGGGAGCAAACAGG